AUUGAACGCUGGCGGAAUGCUUUACACAUGCAAGUCGAACGGCAGCACGGACUUCGGUCUGGUGGCGAGUGGCGAACGGGUGAGUAAUGUAUCGGAACGUGCCCAGUCGUGGGGGAUAACGUAGUGAAAAUUACGCUAAUACCGCAUACGAUCUAUGGAUGAAAGCGGGGGAUCGCAAGACCUCGCGCGAUUGGAGCGGCCGAUAUCAGAUUAGGUAGUUGGUGGGGUAAAGGCCCACCAAGCCAACGGUCUGUAGCUGGUCUGAGAGGACGACAAGCCACACUUGAGCUAGGACACGGUCCAGACUCCUACGGGAGGCAGCAGUGGGGAAUUUUGGACAAUGGGCGAAAGCCUGAUCCAGCCAUUCCGCGUGCAGGAUGACGGCCCUCGGGUUGUAAACUGCUUUUGUACAGAACGAAAAGGUUUCUACUAAUACUAGGAGCUCAUGACGGUACUGUAAGAAUAAACACCGGCUAACUACGUGCCAGCCGCCGCGGUAA
Molecule: ribosomal RNA, 500 nt
Filed under: uncultured bacterium
Lineage: Bacteria
Description: partial 16S ribosomal RNA
Rfam family: Bacterial small subunit ribosomal RNA
Source: RNAcentral